GGGAAGGGCAGCGCCCCGGCCAAGAUGGCGAUGAGGGUGGUGGCGGCGAGAGUCUCAGGGUUUAUCAGGGUCCUCCGGGCUCCCCCGUCGCCCCUCAGCGCGGGGAGAGGCCGCACGCUGGACUUUGGCUGGGUAUGGCCGCCGUGGUGGUGUCAAGCAGCCCCUUGUGCCACCCAGCGCCCUCAGGAACAGUCCAGACCGGCGUUGAUCGGGUGCUGCCCCCUCAGUACCACAGAAAAGGUUUCUGGUGUAGUGAACCACGAAGGAGGUCUGGGGAGAAAAGCUGCUGGAAGGCCACACGCAAAAAAAAAAAUGUGCGGAAUGGUCCCUUGGGUGCGAUGAGUUCCACAAGAGCAUUGCCUGUUCACUCCGUGUGAGGCCACCAGGGUGCUCUGAUGUUCUCCAAGCGCUGCUAACCUGGAUCUGAAACAGCUCCAUGUCACGUGGCAAAGUCCUGAAGUCCUCCUUCCCUUGGAAACACCUCAUUGCUCCAAGGACAUGGUUACAUGAAGAAUUACUUGGCAAAGCUGAUGGUGCACAAGGGACCAGACUCCAAGAUGAAAAGCAAGCCUUGCUGGAAUGUGAAAGCACAGAUUGCACCCUGGAUGAAUGUGGGCAGGAGCUGGAUGAAUAAAGAGAAGUGUUAGGGCUUCACUCAGAGCAACAGUUCACCUAAAAAUCUCCAGUAUUUGCUGUAAGAGAAGAAUAGGUCAAACAAGCUGCUGUGUCACUUCAGCUCCCUCUUUACUGAUGUUUGAGUGACUCUGAAUUCCUCAGCUGUAGGAUGUGAUUGUUCAAUAGGGUCAUGAAGCCUCUCCAGAAAUAUGUACUCACAAGCAGAAUGCAAAGUCCCUGCAGAAAGGAAGUUAAAUAAAAUACAACCACCCCACCUUUGUCAUGGAGAGAGGAAAGGCAAGAUAAAAACCCAUGUCUAAGAAAAACCUUUUGAACACCACUCCCCCACAAAACCCACCUUUAUGUUGGAUUUCUGAAACAGGUUCCAAAGAGCAACUCCAAGUGUGUAGGACAAGAUCAGGACAUCAAUAAACAAAGCUUGUUCUCCAUCCCAGAGAUUUUAAUUUAUCCUGUCAAUAUGAGUUAAUUAAUAAUUAAAGAGGGCACUGUGAUCCUCGUGUGGGAGGUCCUAGAAAAUGAAGAUGCAGCAGUUGAAGAUGCAGCAGGGUGCUGUCUAUUAAAAAGCAUCUUAAGGGAUUUGCUGUAUUACUAUUUUAAUUAUAAUUUAAGCUGCAAGAUUUUGAUGUGCAUUUAAGCAUUACAAUGUAGCAUUUGCAAUGCAAACGUGGCAGGAUUGAGUCCCAUCAGGUAAAUCCAGGGGAAGUAACUGAUUAUAAACACAAAUAAAACUAACACAGAUGUCUGAUGAAAUGCUAAGAUUAAGCAAAAAGCACUACUUAUAUUUCAGUUUCUCUCAUCCAAGCUUAUUGUAAUAAUUCACAGUAAACUUUGGUUUCUAACCAUAGAACUUUCACCACAGCCCUUUCCUUUUAAAUUACUUGAGAUUUAAAUAACUUAAUUACUUUUACACAGCUAAAAUGAUUGCUGUUCCUCAGAACAGAGGGCACUAGAGUUUUCAGAACAGUGCACCAAUACUUGUCCUGCCCAUGGACAUGUAUCAUUUGAUUAAAUGUUUUAAUUUUAUUUUUGGACAUUUAAACUCUGAGUAGAAUCAGCUUAUUAACCACAGUCUCAUAAAUUAUGAUAGAUGAGGUGUUCAGACUUGUUAGGAAGUUUUUAGUGAUAAAAAGUGCAGAGUUAAUAUAAUAAAAGAGCUUCUCUAGGAAGUGGUAUAAUUCCUGUUAUCUUAGACUUUUAAAAUGAGGAGAAAAUCCUAAGAGGAAACAGUUUUGCAUGUGCAUUACUUGAUCUAAAUAUAUCUUCUCAGCUUAAUGCCAUUCAUAACAAUUUUAGCACUGACCAAAAGUCAGAGUCACCAAUAAACUACAAUAUUUUGUAUUUUAUAGGUGACUUGGAUGAGGUUCUAAAGGAAUUGAGAAACUGGUACAGAAAAUAAAUCAGCUCUCCAGGAUUUUGGACAGCUGAGAUUUGGGAGACCUUCAAGCCCCUUUCAGUGCUAAAGGGGCUCCAGGAGAGCUGGAGAGGGACUUUGGAUGUGGCAUGGAGUGACAGGAU
Molecule: long non-coding RNA, 2151 nt
Organism: Chiroxiphia lanceolata (lance-tailed manakin)
Lineage: Eukaryota; Metazoa; Chordata; Aves; Passeriformes; Pipridae
Exons: 4
Source: RefSeq, a predicted model, not a curated record